UACGUAGGUGACAAGCGUUAUCCGGAAUUACUGGGCGUAAAGCGCACGCAGGCGGCGCGGUAAGUCUGAUGUGAAAUCUCCCGGCUUAGCUGGGAGGGGUCAUUGGAAACUGCCGAGCUUGAGGCGAUGAGAGGGGUGUAGAAUUCCCGGUGUAGUGGUGGAAUGCGUAGAUAUCGGGAGGAAUACCAGUGGCGAAAGCGGCACCCUGGCAUUAGCCUGACGCUCAUGUGCGAAGGCGUGGGGAGCGAACGGG
This 253-nucleotide ribosomal RNA is filed under the name uncultured bacterium. RNAcentral's name for it is "partial 16S ribosomal RNA". It matches the Rfam family "Bacterial small subunit ribosomal RNA", at positions 524 to 776 of the family's 1533-position model. The record is from RNAcentral.